UACGUAGGGGGCUAGCGUUUUCCGGAAUCAUUGGGGGUAAAGAGCGUGUAGGCGGCCCGGUAAGUCCGCUGUGAAAGUCGGGGGCUCAACCCUCGAAUGCCGGUGGAUACUGUCGGGCUAGAGUGCGGAAGAGGCGAGUGGAAUUCCUGGUGUAGCGGUGAAAUGCGCAGAUAUCAGGAGGAACACCAAUUGCGAAGGCAGCUCGCUGGGACGUAACUGACGCUGAGACGCGAAAGCGUGGGGAGCGAACAGG
This 253-nucleotide ribosomal RNA is filed under the name uncultured bacterium. Its description in RNAcentral is "partial 16S ribosomal RNA". It matches the Rfam family "Bacterial small subunit ribosomal RNA", at positions 524 to 776 of the family's 1533-position model. The record is from RNAcentral.